RNAcentral lists this long non-coding RNA (360 nucleotides) under Sinocyclocheilus grahami. RNAcentral describes it as "lncRNA (ENSSGRG00000046658.1)". Lineage: Eukaryota; Metazoa; Chordata; Actinopteri; Cypriniformes; Cyprinidae. The record is from RNAcentral.
AUAAGCUGUCUGCUUAUGAUUUCUUACUGCCGCUUCAGAACAAGAUCAUCGCCAGAUGGUGUGGUCUGCCAAUAUCAGGAACGUCCCCUGUAAUGAAACUGACAUCUUCUGGAAACGUCAUGCUUGUCACAUUUUCUUUCAGUCGUCAGCGGCAUGGAGCCAUCUUCAAAGCUUAUUUCCAGGCUAUACCCAAAACCGAGUGUGGUGGUUUCCUCACUGCGUGGAACGGCACGGUGACGUCACCUUACUACCCCGCCUACUACCCUCCAAAUGUGGACUGUAACUGGAAAAUCAGGGCUCCGUUGCCGGGAUACCUUCUUUCCGUGACCAUUGUGAUGCUAGACAUUCAGGAUUCACCCG